RNAcentral lists this ribosomal RNA (336 nucleotides) under uncultured Anaerolineaceae bacterium. Its description in RNAcentral is "bacterial SSU rRNA". It matches the Rfam family "Bacterial small subunit ribosomal RNA", at positions 1035 to 1382 of the family's 1533-position model. The record is from RNAcentral. Lineage: Bacteria; Bacillati; Chloroflexota; Anaerolineae; Anaerolineales; Anaerolineaceae.
CAGGUGCUGCAUGGCUGUCGUCAGCUCGUGUCGUGAGGAUGUUCGGUUAAGUCCGCUAACGAGCGCAACCCUCGCUGUGUGUUACAAGUGUCACACGGAACUGCCGGUCAUAAACCGGAGGAAGGUGGGGAUGACGUCAAGUCAGCAUGGCCUUUAUAUCCUGGGCUACACACACGCUACAAUGGGAAGGGACAAUAGGUUGCGAAGCCGCGAGGCGGAGCCAAUCCAGCAAAACUUCCCUCAGUUCAGAUUGCAGGCUGCAACUCGCCUGCAUGAAGUUGGAGUUGCUAGUAAACGCAGGUCAGCCAUACUGCGUUGAAUACGUUCCCGGGGCUU